ACGACUCUCGGCAACGGAUAUCUCGGCUCUCGCAUCGAUGAAGAACGUAGCGAAAUGCGAUACCUGGUGUGAAUUGCAGAAUCCCGCGAACCAUCGAGUCUUUGAACGCAAGUUGCGCCCGAGGCCACUCGGCCGAGGGCACGCCUGCCUGGGCGUCAUGC
RNAcentral lists this ribosomal RNA (161 nucleotides) under Hordeum murinum subsp. leporinum. RNAcentral's name for it is "5.8S ribosomal RNA". It matches the Rfam family "5.8S ribosomal RNA". Rfam says of the family: 5.8S ribosomal RNA (5.8S rRNA) is a component of the large subunit of the eukaryotic ribosome. Lineage: Eukaryota; Viridiplantae; Streptophyta; Magnoliopsida; Poales; Poaceae. The record is from RNAcentral.